AUGGCCCAAGUGCCCAACCAUCCCGGAAAACCUAAGAGCCUGGUAAACGGAACGGCUGCCUCGUCAGUCCCGCAGGGGAGGACAGAGGAAAUGGCCAUGGGACGCCCGCUCUCGUCCCCGAAUGCCGGCCUAGGCCUGCCCGGCCUCCCUCAGGCCCGCUGGGACGCGAGGCCACAGCCAAGCUUGCCGGUCCGUUGGGCCGGGCCGUUAGGAAAACACCUGCCGUUACUUCCCGCGCGCGCCAGGAGAAAUAAAUCCUCGCCCCGCUCUUUCAUCGGUGCUUCUCCCUCUCUUCAUCCCCUCCCGCCCGCCAGCAGGUGCCGAGAUUCCAACCAAUCACUAGUGCGCGCUCAACCUCCUCCGAGACUGAGAGUUAUUAGCAACGCAGCUGAGAGACCGCUAGGCAGCCCCUCCAGCCCACCAGACGCCCAACUCUGCUGCAGGCUAGUGCCUCCCGCCGCCUCCUCGUGUUUUUCUCUACGGUCCCGGCCACAUAGUAUGAUCAUUCGGUGUUCAGUUUCCCAACAACUUUCUAUGGAAAAUCAAGGGAAGUGGGCCAUGGUUGCCGUGAGCAACUUUGAAGAGCGGGACACCUUUAGAGAAGCUUGAUCAAGGUGCCAUCAUCGUGAGACCCUCCAAAUCAGGGUAAGGGUCCCUCGGGGUAGGUCUAGCGUUGGUGCUUCAAAUGAUUGGCAGUCUUCAGUGGAAGAGACCUUUGUGAAGCUGGAUGAGUGUGAAAAUGAUAUGGGGAUUCAUUGGGAUCAAUGCAAAAUCCUUCCUCUAACAGGUUUAAAAAAAUAAAUUGCUCAAGGACAGAAUAGGGUAGGGCUUU
This 832-nucleotide long non-coding RNA is filed under the name Phascolarctos cinereus (koala). RNAcentral's name for it is "lncRNA (ENSPCIG00000033571.1)". The record is from RNAcentral. Lineage: Eukaryota; Metazoa; Chordata; Mammalia; Diprotodontia; Phascolarctidae.